CUUCCUCUUUCUCUUGCCAGGGUUGUUGGCGUGGCCGUGUGUCCAGGUUCCUCCUUUUCUGCAAAGGAAUCCAUCGCUAAUCUCCGACUGAAGGAAAAAUGGAGGUGCGCUAUUCGAGGCCUUCACAUCAAGGCAGUGCUGUAGCUUAUGGAAAACACCGGUUAGGUGUACAUUUUAAGCAAACUUAUUCUACGUGCUUUUAGCUCCUUGCAGAUGAUAUAUCAGAUUUUUCUCCCCUUCACAGUAUUCUAAAGUGAACAGCUGCACAAGAUGUACUGAGUAAAUCUUCAAAAGGACCAGGAUUUCCAGACUGGUUACAGGAAUUGGAUGCCUUAGAUGAUCAGUGAAACAAAGGGAUAAUGCUUUUGAAAAGAUGAGUGCAAGCAACAGAGGCGGUUCUUUCCUCCUGUGUUUUCUGCUUCCCUUGUGACUGUUCUGCGGGCAUGUCAUUUCCUGGGGAAAGAGGAAUGGUAGACGGCUAAAGGAGCAAGUAAGCACCAGGUAAUAACACCGGUGGGUGCCCUGUUGAGAUCGCUGGUUUUAAAUGGAGAAAGAGCUGUGGAAAGGUUGGGCUUGUUGUAUGAUUGUGAAAGGCUGCCUGGUAAAAGUUUUAAAUGUAACAGUUCCCGAUGACCGUUCCUUUCACUGUCACAAGCCUUGGGCAGUGGGUUUUUGUGUCAUCGUAUAUUAAAAGUGGCUUUUCUUCACUCAGGGGAGUCAGGGACGGGUUUGGCUGUCCCAUGGCUCUUUUCUGAAUUUUGCGGAGUCUCACAUUCUGAAAUGAACACAGGGAAUUGAAGUUGGAGUUCAAGGCACAAAUGGCCAUCUCCUGUUACUUCUGGGAAAAGCGCCUGUACAGAAGACAGGGAUUCUGCCAUGUCUGAAAACAAGAUGGUGGAUUCUUAGAAUUUCCUUUGAUUUUUGAGUGGUCACCUGUUUCUGCCUGAAUAAAGUUGUGGCUUGAUAUUUGUUU
This is a long non-coding RNA of Eublepharis macularius, 973 nucleotides long. RefSeq lists it as uncharacterized. NCBI's taxonomy places the organism in Eukaryota, Metazoa, Chordata, Lepidosauria, Squamata, Eublepharidae. The transcript has 5 exons. The record is from RefSeq and is a predicted model, not a curated record.